Molecule: transfer RNA, 86 nt
Filed under: Bifidobacteriaceae bacterium
Lineage: Bacteria; Bacillati; Actinomycetota; Actinomycetes; Bifidobacteriales; Bifidobacteriaceae
Description: tRNA-Leu
Rfam family: tRNA
About the family: Transfer RNA (tRNA) molecules are approximately 80 nucleotides in length. Their secondary structure includes four short double-helical elements and three loops (D, anti-codon, and T loops).
Source: RNAcentral
GUCCGAGUGGCGGAAUUGGCAGACGCGCUAGCUUGAGGUGCUAGUGCCCUUAUUUGGGCAUGGGGGUUCAAGUCCCCCCUCGGACA